CCUACGGGUGGCAGCAGUGAGGAAUAUUGGUCAAUGGACGAGAGUCUGAACCAGCCAAGUAGCGUGAAGGAUGACUGCCCUAUGGGUUGUAAACUUCUUUUAUAUGGGAAUAAAAUGUUCCACGUGUGGGAUUUUGUAUGUACCAUAUGAAUAAGGAUCGGCUAACCCCGUGCCAGCAGCCGCGGUAAUACGGAGGAUCCGAGCGUUAUGCGGAUUUAUUGGGCUUAAAGGGAGCGUAGGUGGAUUGUUAAGUCAGUUGUGAAAGUUUGCGGCUCAACCGUAAAAUUGCAGUUGAAACUGGCAGUCUUGAGUACAGUAGAGGUGGGCAGAAUUCGUGGUGUAGCGGUGAAAUGCUUAGAUAUCACGAAGAACUCCGAUUGCGAAGGCAGUUCACUGGACUGCAACUGACACUGAGGCUCGAAAGUGUGGGUAUCAAACAGGAUUAGAUACCCUUGUAGUC
RNAcentral lists this ribosomal RNA (460 nucleotides) under uncultured bacterium. RNAcentral describes it as "partial 16S ribosomal RNA". It matches the Rfam family "Bacterial small subunit ribosomal RNA", at positions 338 to 795 of the family's 1533-position model. The record is from RNAcentral.